UUGUAUACAUAAACCACAUCUUCUUUAUCCAUUCAUCUUUCGAUGGACACCGAGGCUCCUUCCAGUUUGGCUAUUGUGGACAUUGCUGCUAGAAACAUCGGGGUGCAGGUGUCCCGCACUGUUCAGUUUAAAUUGUAUUCCUUCUCUCUCAGUCCUCACAACCUAGGUUGUGGUUAGUAUCAAUAUCUUAAUACCAGCAUUCACAUAUGAAGGAACAUACACACAGGGAGAUUAAGGAACUUCUAGACAAACACAUAACUAAGAAGUGUCAGAAAUAAGAUUUUAUUCCAUUAGUUUGAUUCAGAAUCCUUGUUCUCAACUACUAUGCUGAAAGAAAAAACAAAGAAUGCACAACCAUGUAAAAAAGAGUUAUUAUGAUAAAAAUAAGGUAAAUAAAUGACAGAAAUGUGGGUGAAAUAUAUAAAUGGACAAUUUAUACUGGAAGAAAUAACAAUUGGCUAAUGUCCAUAUGAUACUGCUAUUGCCAGUUUCUCUAAAAAAGACAACUUUAAAUUACAAUGAAAUAUGCCUUUUCACUUAUAUUUUGCAGAAUAUGAAAAGAUUGAUACCAUUGUUGAUACAAACUUGAUAGAGGUCAAUUUCAUAGAACCUGUGAAAAAUGGGAAAUGCAUACAUCCUUUGAUCUUGCAACUCAACUUAAUAGAAAUCUAUUUUAAAGAAAUAGUCACACAUAUAUAUAUAAAUACUGUACAACAGCGUUUAUUGUAUCAUUAUUUGUAACAGUGAAAACUAGAAAACAACUGAGAUAUAUCAGCAGGGGAAUGCUUUAAUAAGUUCUAGUUUUCCAUACUAUUGAAUAUUAUGUAGCCACUUAAAAUCCAAGAACAAAGUAGAUCUAUAUUAAAUGUUAUGUUAUAAAAAAGUCUGCAACGUUCUGCAUGUUGUUAAAAACCAGGUUGCAUUAUGUUAUAUAUUUGGCAUAAUUAAAUUGAUUUAUUAAACUUGGAGAGGGGAGUCUUUUCAUUUACCUUCUAUAUUUGUAUAUAGAAAACAUCCUGGAAUAAAAUUCAUAAAAUAUUAACAUAGUUAUUAGGAGUAUUCAUGAAAAUUUAUGAAAGAUUUGAAUUUUGCUCUAAAUGCUUUGGUAUUAUUUAAAUGCAUUAGAAUAAGUAUGUCCCAUUAUAAUGCAAAUAGUAAAGUAAAAGUAUAAUGUAAAAAUAAAGUGAAAAGGAUAAAAGGAAGUAAGUACUGUACCAAAUGUAGAUAGCUUGUAACAGCAGAACUGUAAUUCAGGCUAAGUCCUGGUGACUUCAAAGUUAUUGGUGUUCUCUACUAUUCCAGUAUUCAAGAUACCAUAGAGCAUUACCGAACAUUGCUGCCGCUUCUUUGUAUAUUGUCUAUAAUAUUUAUAUUAAUUAUAUUUAUAUAUUCAUAAAAUAAGUGUAAAUAUUUAUAUAUCAUAUAUAAAAAUUGUAUAUAAUACAUAUUAUAUAUAAAUACUAUAUAUAUUGUUUUCCUAGAGACAUAUAUUACAACCUGUCAGGAAGGAGAUGAGACUUUAUUUUCCAACUUAUUUUCAAUCCUAGAUUCAUAUGAGAUUUUGACCAUGCAGUGGAAUGGAACAGGACGCACGGAGUGCCAUGUGGGAAUGGAAGCAGAGACUGGGUGAGGCCAAGUCAAGGAACACCGAAGAUUGCCAGCAAACUACUAAGAAGCUAGAAGAGGGGCAUGAAAUAGAUUUUUCCUCAAAAGGAGCAGAUCCUGCCAAAACUUGAUCUCAAACAAACUUCUAGCCUCAAAAAAGGUAAGACGAUAAAUUUCUCUUAUUUAAGCCACUCAAUUUGUGAUACUUUGUUUUUUUUUAAUUUUUUUAAAUUUAUUUUUUAAAUUUGUGGUACUUUGUUAUGGCAGCCCUGCAAACAAAUACAUUGGAUUUCAAAGUAAGUUGUGGGAAAAAUCAGAGUGAAGAUUCAUGUACUGGAUCAAGUGUGUGGUAGGUGAGAAAUCCUGGAAAUGUGGGUAAGAGAAUGUAGGCAGAGUCCACGCUAAUUGUCAAAGAGAGUGUCCUGUUCCGUUAUAUGCCAGCUCCCAGAAUGUGAAGCCAUUCUGUAACAUGCCAGUCAAGAAUUUAUUUGGUCCCCUUGCCUUCUCUCUUUACAGGAGAGGGAUAGAGAGAGAAACAGCUGACCCCCUGUUGCCUCCACCUGCUGCAGCCCUCCUUCAGCCUUGCCUGAGGCUCCUCAGUCCCCGGAGCAAGCUCUUUUUUCUGGCUGACCUGGAUUUUAUGGCAAACACACCUACCUGGAGAAAGUGUGCAGCCCUCCCUGUUGAGACACAAGGUGCUGAGUCACAAGGAACUGGAAGGCUCCAGAUGCCCAGGCGUGGCCCUGAGGGUGGUGUGGGCUUUAGUUAUUCCUGAACCCAAGAAACCAUGAAGCUCACAGUUCAUCAUGUCAGUUUCCAAUAUCAACUGAUGUAACUGGUGAUGUUGGUAGUGAUUUAACUGGUGUCUGCACCAACACAGGGACGGACACUUGGACACUCAGAAUUUCCUAACAGAGAAUUCCAACAUUGUCAGAUAAUGUUUGGGGCAAAACUGUUUCUCCAGGUUAUGAUGUAAUCCACACGGAAAUACUCUUAAUCUAAUAUUCUGAAGGAAAACAACCAAAUGAACAUUACUAUUGUUCUUUUGAAAAAUCUAUAGCAUUCUUUGAACAUGUCAAGUCACUGAGAGGGAAUGCAAAAGAGCAGUACCAGUAAGGCUACAACCACUACAGACACCAGUAUAACUUCUGCUAAACCUAAAACCACCAUAGCCAGCACUAUAACUUCUACAAACUUACACCCACCACGGCCACCACUACAAUUUCUAAUGAACCUGCAACCACCACAGCCACCAAUGUUGCCUCUAAUGAACCUACAACCAGCACUACAGCCACCAUGUCAUCUGAACCUAAUACCACAACUACUCCCAGCACUACCGCUGAUGCUAACAACCGUCACUAUCACCACUACAACUUCUACCAAACCUCCAACCAGCAGGGCCAACAGUACCACUUUUAUGGAACUUACAACCACCAUAGCCACCAAUAUGACAUCUACCAAACCUACAACAACCACAGCCACAAACAUCAUCUCUACUGAGUAGAACUCCCACAGCAGCUACCACAGCAUCUGAACAGACCACCAGAACUACAGCUAGUGCUACCACUGAGGCUACAACCACCAUGGCCACCAUUACAACCUCUCCUGAACCUAUAACUACCAUGGCCACCACUAGUGCCUCUGUGAGGCCUACAACCACUAUAGAGCCACAACUUCAUCUUUACUGACUAUCACAACAACUGCCAGCACUACCACUGAGGCUACAGCCACCACAGCCGUGACUACUACUACUUCUGAACCAAGAGCCACCAUAGCAGCUACCAUUUCAUCUUAACCAACUACUAGGACACCUGUUGGCAUGGCCACGAGGCUAAAAUUCCAACAGUCCCCACUACUGUUUCUAAUAAACCUAUAACCACAAGACUUGCCACCACUUCAAGUGAACUGCUUCUGCGAUGACUAGAAUGUAACUGCUGUCACUUUUGCUGAAUAUUCUGUUAUCAGAUUCCAGUACACCAGUUCAGCCCUUUCUACUCCAUAUUGCAAUCCCUACCACCACUGUUGAAGUUACAACUACAUAAAUCAUCCAGAAACUUCCAGCCAGCUCUGAAUCGUUCCCGUUUCAAAUAAACCUGUCAUCACCAUCAGUUUAACAGGAUUUCUAGACCCUACUCUGCUCCCCAACAGAAUUUACAUUAUUUGCUGUAGCUACCUCCACUUCUGUGACUGAAUCUAGUCUACUUUCUUUUUUUUUCUUUCUUUCUUUCUUUCUUUUUUUUUUUUUUUUUUUUGAGUUUCGGAGUUUUAUUCAU
Molecule: long non-coding RNA, 3878 nt
Organism: Canis lupus familiaris (dog)
Lineage: Eukaryota; Metazoa; Chordata; Mammalia; Carnivora; Canidae
Exons: 5
Source: RefSeq, a predicted model, not a curated record